ACAGGGAUUGCCCUAGUAACGGCGAGUGAAGCGGCAACAGCUCAAAUUUGAAAUCUGGCGUCUUUGGCGUCCGAGUUGUAAUUUGCAGAGGGCGCUUUGGCAUUGGCAGCGGUCCAAGUUCCUUGGAACAGGACGUCACAGAGGGUGAGAAUCCCGUACGUGGUCGCUAGCCUUUACCGUGUAAAGCCCCUUCGACGAGUCGAGUUGUUUGGGAAUGCAGCUCUAAAUGGGAGGUAAAUUUCUUCUAAAGCUAAAUACUGGCCAGAGACCGAUAGCGCACAAGUAGAGUGAUCGAAAGAUGAAAAGCACUUUGGAAAGAGAGUUAAAAAGCACGUGAAAUUGUUGAAAGGGAAGCGCUUGCAGCCAGACUUGCCUGUAGUUGCUCAUCCGGGUUUUUACCCGGUGCACUCUUCUAUAGGCAGGCCAGCAUCAGUUUGGGCGGUUGGAUAAAGGUCUCUGUCACGUACCUCCUCUCGGGGAGAUCUUAUAGGGGAGACGAAAUGCAACCAGCCUGGACUGAGGUCCGCGCAUCUGCUAGGAUGCUGGCGUAAUGGCUGUAAGCGGCCCGUCUUGAAACACGGACCAAGGAGUCUAACAUCUAUGCGAGUGUUUGGGUGUCAAGCCCGAGCGCGUAAUGAAAGUGAACGGAGGUGGGAACCUUUCGGGGUGCACCAUCGACCGAUCCUGAUGUCUUCGGAUGGAUUUGAGUAAGAGCAUAGCUGUUGGGACCCGAAAGAUGGUGAACUAUGCUUGAAUAGGGUGAAGCCAGAGGAAACUCUGGUGGAGGCUCGCAGCGGUUCUGACGUGCAAAUCGAUCGUCAAAUUUGGGCAUAGGGGCGAAAGACUAAUCGAACUAUCUAGUAGCUGGUUCCUGCCGAAGUUUCCCUCAGGAUAGCAGUAACGUUUUCAGUUUUAUGAGGUAAAGCGAAUGAUUAGAGGCCUGGGGGUUGAAACAACCUUCACCUAUUCUCAAACUUUAAAUAUGUAAGAAGUCCUUGUUACUUAAUUGAACGUGGACAGUUGAAUGUAUCGUUACUAGUGGGCCAUUUUUGGUAAGCAGAACUGGCGAUGCGGGAUGAACCGAACGCGGGGUUAAGGUGCCAGAAUAUACGCUCAUCAGACACCACAAAAGGUGUUAGUUCAUCUAGACAGCAGGACGGUGGCCAUGGAAGUCGGAAUCCGCUAAGGAGUGUGUAACAACUCACCUGCCGAAUGAACUAGCCCUGAAAAUGGAUGGCGCUCAAGCGUAUUACCCAUACCCCGCCGCUGGGGCAAGAUUUAAGCCCCAGCGAGUAGGCAGGCGUGGAGGUCCGUGACGAAGCCUUGG
This 1327-nucleotide ribosomal RNA is filed under the name Boeremia lycopersici. RNAcentral's name for it is "eukaryotic LSU rRNA". It matches the Rfam family "Eukaryotic large subunit ribosomal RNA", at positions 68 to 1414 of the family's 3401-position model. Lineage: Eukaryota; Fungi; Ascomycota; Dothideomycetes; Pleosporales; Didymellaceae. The record is from RNAcentral.